Long non-coding RNA from Dendrobium catenatum, 724 nucleotides. RefSeq lists it as uncharacterized. Lineage: Eukaryota; Viridiplantae; Streptophyta; Magnoliopsida; Asparagales; Orchidaceae. The record is from RefSeq and is a predicted model, not a curated record. The transcript is spliced from 3 exons.
CACACAGUUCUUCCAUUUCCCUCUAUAUCAGAACUCUUCUGAUCUGUUUCAUCUUCUUUUGGGUUCUUUCUCCUUCAAAUGGCUUGCCCGAAUCAAAUAUCUCAUGAAAUUAUUGAUUCAGCAGAAGAGAGCUUUGAGGCCUCACAGGCGGAGUUUUCAGAGGCAGAGAUAGAUCUUAUUGUCAGAAUAUAUAAUCUUAUUGGAGAGAGAUGGUCAUUGAUUGCUGGAAGAAUACCAGGAAGAACAGCUGAGGAGAUCGAGAAGUACUGGAAAUCAAAGCAUGCAAGCAGCGCCUAAAAAAAAUUUAGGUGGAGAUAUUUUUUAAUAAGCAGCUCACUGAUAUUCAAGUAGGCGCCAUCACAGCUUUUUCUCCUCAUUCCCAGCUUUGGUUGUGCAGACUCUCUCCACGCCAAAUCGCCAUUAAUGAUCUGCAACAGCAGCCAGCACAUCCUUACUGUUAGUUGAUAGCCACUUUCUGCUGCAUAUUCAGAGUUUCUCUUCUACUCCUAUAUAAAUAUAUACUAAGCUGUAGUUGUAAUGUGCUGAAUCGCUAUAUACUGAUAUAUGAUUAUCUCUACUGCAGUCCGAUGUAGUCUUCUUCUUCUCUGUUUUCUCCUGUUGUUGGUUUCUUGCAGUUAGUGCAGAUUUUCUUCAUUUUUCUCAGUUGUCAUCAGAGGAGGGGUUAUUUACUCAAUGUUAUUUGGAUAUAAGCGUUAUUAAGAUG